GCAGCCGCGGUAAUACGUAGGUUGCAAGCGUUGUCCGGAUUUACUGGGUGUAAAGGGCGUGUAGGCGGAGAUGCAAGUUGGGAGUGAAAUCCCGGGGCUCAACCCCGGAACUGCUUUCAAAACUGUAUCCCUUGAGUAUCGGAGAGGCAAGCGGAAUUCCUAGUGUAGCGGUGAAAUGCGUAGAUAUUAGGAGGAACACCAGUGGCGAAGGCGGCUUGCUGGACGACAACUGACGCUGAGGCGCGAAAGCGUGGGGAGCAAACAGGAUUAGAUACCCC
Molecule: ribosomal RNA, 278 nt
Filed under: uncultured Lachnoclostridium sp.
Lineage: Bacteria; Bacillati; Bacillota; Clostridia; Lachnospirales; Lachnospiraceae
Description: partial 16S ribosomal RNA
Rfam family: Bacterial small subunit ribosomal RNA
Source: RNAcentral